Molecule: ribosomal RNA, 286 nt
Filed under: Sellaphora capitata
Lineage: Eukaryota; Bacillariophyta; Bacillariophyceae; Sellaphorales; Sellaphoraceae
Description: partial 26S ribosomal RNA
Rfam family: Eukaryotic large subunit ribosomal RNA
Source: RNAcentral
UCUGAUCUCAGAUCAAGCAAGAAGACCCGCCGAAUUUAAGCAUAUAAUUAAGCGGAGGAAAAGAAACUAACCAGGAUUCCCCUAGUAAGGGCGACUGAAGCGGGAAUAGCUCACGAUGUGAAUCAGCGCUGCUUUGUGGCGCCGAAUUGUGGUCUGAAAACGUUUGCAUUACUGGCGGGGCCAAGUCCCUUGGAACAGGGCAGCCGAGAGGGUGAGACUCCCGUGUGCCCUGCCUUUGGAGCGAGCGUUUGACGAGUCGAGUUGUUUGGGAUUGCAGCUCUAAGUG